This 415-nucleotide ribosomal RNA is filed under the name uncultured bacterium. RNAcentral's name for it is "bacterial SSU rRNA". It matches the Rfam family "Bacterial small subunit ribosomal RNA", at positions 97 to 519 of the family's 1533-position model. The record is from RNAcentral.
GGCGAACGGGUGAGUAACACUGUGGGCAUACCUGCCCCUCGCUCUGGGACAACUCCGGGAAACCGGGGCUAAUACCGGUAUACGACUUCCUCGGGCAUCUGGGGGAGUGGAAAGUUUUUCGGCGUAGGGAUGGGCCCGCGGCCUAUCAGCUUGUUGGUGGGGUGAUGGCCUACCAAGGCGACGGUACGGGUAGCCGGCCUGAGAGGGCGACCGGCCACACUGGGACUGAGACACGGCCCAGACUCCUACGGGAGGCAGCAGUGGGGAAUAUUGCGCAAUGGGCGAAAGCCUGACUGCAGCGACGCCGCGUGAGGGAUGACGGCCUUCGUGUUGUAACCCGCUUUCAGUAGGGACGAUAUCGAAAGUGACGGUACCUACAGAAGAAGGACCGGCUUACUACGUGCCAUCAUCCUCG